RNAcentral lists this ribosomal RNA (435 nucleotides) under uncultured rumen bacterium. RNAcentral's name for it is "bacterial SSU rRNA". It matches the Rfam family "Bacterial small subunit ribosomal RNA", at positions 958 to 1392 of the family's 1533-position model. The record is from RNAcentral.
AACGCGAAGAACCUUACCAAGCCUUGACAUCCUUCUGACCGUUCCUUAAUCGGAACUUCUCUUCGGAGCAGGAGUGACAGGUGGUGCAUGGUUGUCGUCAGCUCGUGUCGUGAGAUGUUGGGUUAAGUCCCGCAACGAGCGCAACCCCUAUUGCUAGUAGCCAGCACAUCAUGGUGGGCACUCUAGCGAGACUGCCAGGGACAACCUGGAGGAAGGCGGGGAUGACGUCAAAUCAUCAUGCCCCUUAUGGCUUGGGCUACACACGUGCUACAAUGGCGUAAACAGAGGGAAGCAACCACGCGAGUGUAAGCAAAUCUCAAAAAUAACGUCUCAGUUCGGAUUGCAGUCUGAAACUCGACUGCAUGAAGCUGGAAUCGCUAGUAAUCGCAGAUCAGAAUGCUGCGGUGAAUACGUUCCCGGGUCUUGUACACACCG